RNAcentral lists this ribosomal RNA (467 nucleotides) under uncultured bacterium. RNAcentral describes it as "partial 16S ribosomal RNA". It matches the Rfam family "Bacterial small subunit ribosomal RNA", at positions 28 to 507 of the family's 1533-position model. The record is from RNAcentral.
GAUGAACGCUGACAGAAUGCUUAACACAUGCAAGUCAACUUGAAUUUGGGUUUUUAACUUAGGUUUGGGUGGCGGACGGGUGAGUAACGCGUAAAGAACUUGCCUCACAGCUAGGGACAACAUUUGGAAACGAAUGCUAAUACCUAAUAUUAUGAUAAUAGGGCAUCCUAUAAUUAUGAAAGCUAUAAGCGCUGUGAGAGAGCUUUGCGUCCCAUUAGCUAGUUGGAGAGGUAACGGCUCACCAAGGCGAUGAUGGGUAGCCGGCCUGAGAGGGUGAUCGGCCACAAGGGGACUGAGACACGGCCCUUACUCCUACGGGAGGCAGCAGUGGGGAAUAUUGGACAAUGGACCAAGAGUCUGAUCCAGCAAUUCUGUGUGCACGAUGAAGUUUUUCGGAAUGUAAAGUGCUUUCAGUUGGGAAGAAAGAAAUGACGGUACCAACAGAAGAAGAGACGGCUAAAUACGUG